UGACGGAGCAACGCCGCGUGAGUGAUGAAGGUUUUCGGAUCGUAAAGCUCUGUUGUUAGGGAAGAACAAGUGCCGUUCAAAUAGGGCGGCACCUUGACGGUACCUAACCAGAAAGCCACGGCUAACUACGUGCCAGCAGCCGCGGUAAUACGUAGGUGGCAAGCGUUGUCCGGAAUUAUUGGGCGUAAAGGGCUCGCAGGCGGUUUCUUAAGUCUGAUGUGAAAGCCCCCGGCUCAACCGGGGAGGGUCAUUGGAAACUGGGGAACUUGAGUGCAGAAGAGGAGAGUGGAAUUCCACGUGUAGCGGUGAAAUGCGUAGAGAUGUGGAGGAACACCAGUGGCGAAGGCGACUCUCUGGUCUGUAACUGACGCUGAGGAGCGAAAGCGUGGGGAGCGAACAGGAUUAGAUACCCUGGUAGUCCACGCCGUAAACGAUGAGUGCUAAGUGUUAGGGGGUUUCCGCCCCUUAGUGCUGCAGCUAACGCAUUAAGCACUCCGCCUGGGGAGUACGGUCGCAAGACUGAAACUCAAAGGAAUUGACGGGGGCCCGCACAAGCGGUGGAGCAUGUGGUUUAAUUCGAAGCAACGCGAAGAACCUUACCAGGUCUUGACAUCCUCUGACAAUCCUAGAGAUAGGACGUCCCCUUCGGGGGCAGAGUGACAGGUGGUGCAUGGUUGUCGUCAGCUCGUGUCGUGAGAUGUUGGGUUAAGUCCCGCAACGAGCGCAACCCUUGAUCUUAGUUGCCAGCAUUCAGUUGGGCACUCUAAGGUGACUGCCGGUGACAAACCGGAGGAAGGUGGGGAUGACGUCAAAUCAUCAUGCCCCUUAUGACCUGGGCUACACACGUGCUACAAUGGGCAGAACAAAGGGCAGCGAAACCGCGAGGUUAAGCCAAUCCCACAAAUCUGUUCUCAGUUCGGAUCGCAGUCUGCAACUCGACUGCGUGAAGCUGGAAUCGCUAGUAAUCGCGGAUCAGCAUGCC
RNAcentral lists this ribosomal RNA (982 nucleotides) under Bacillus sp. (in: firmicutes). Its description in RNAcentral is "bacterial SSU rRNA". It matches the Rfam family "Bacterial small subunit ribosomal RNA", at positions 384 to 1358 of the family's 1533-position model. The record is from RNAcentral. Lineage: Bacteria; Bacillati; Bacillota; Bacilli; Caryophanales; Bacillaceae.